ACUAGUGUAAUUUGAGUUGGGAGUUUGACUAAUCACUAGUAAAUUCCAUAUGCCGAGCAAUGGGUGAAGGCGGCAGGCAAGGCAACACAGCCAGCCAGUUAUGACAGUUGAUUAACUUAACCUACUGCAAAUUUGAAGCUUCAGAGAAGGUGAGAUAGUUCAAUUCAUUUGAUUUCGUUCAAUAAAAAUAUAAUAAAUAAAAGUUAUUGCUUCCUUACUUACCUAGUUUGUUCAUUUUCAACGCCUUAUUUUUGUCUGUCAAUAGAAAAUUCAAGUCCAUUCAUCGAAUUUGUGUGUGAAAGUUCAAGAAAGGGAUGCAAUAAUAUGUAGGGGAGGAUUGGUUAUUUUUUAUCUUACAGGCGGAAUAGGGUGUUUUUAUAAUGGGCUGCUCUGGAUCUGAAAGGAGACUCUUUUUAAAAAAAAUGAAAGAGACAAAAGAAAGAGACAAAAGAAAAUUGCAAAGACAUGUCAUCAAUUUCUAAGUCUUUACAAGGAGGUCUCCUUCUCCUUCUCCUUCUCCUUCUCGUAUGGCCUUUUAUUUUAUUUUUUAUUUUUUUUGAGUUAGAUAGGAAGUCUCUGUCUUGUCUUAAACUUGAUGUUCUGUAAGAUGUCCCAUUGGUCCGAAUUAUUGCACUAUCUUUUCAUCAGGUACUGUAUUUUAUAUAAAUAUAUUCUCAUGUCACAUAAAAUUCGAUGCAAAGUUUAUUGGGAUUUAAUGACAUCAAUAAAUCAUCAAUAAAUCCUCCUUUGUUUAUCUAUUCUUUUAGACUUUCUUGUACAACCUUAUUUCUCUUUUCCUUAUGGGGAAUGCUAUUCGAACGUCUAUCCAUUUUACCAUUUAAAGUGAAAAGCGCUUGUACAAAAGACAAUAAUACUAGGGAGAUCUUAGUAGUAGUAUUUGAGUUUUAAUCCAAAUUUUAUUAUCAUGUAUCAUUUAUUUAUUAGAUAAUAAAUUUCAUAACUUAUACAUUAUUUGACCACCAUCUGAUAAAUCAAUACUCCUAUAAAAAUAGUUAUGGAUGGAACAAUAACAUUCACAUCACUCAUUUUUCAUGUGUUAUCAUAAAAGCAUGUUGUUUGUUCAUUUUGUAAAAAUACCCUUAACCCAUGUUUGGUUGGAAGAAAUGGUAGGAGCGGAAAGGAAAGAAUGGGAGAGAAAAUGAGUGAAAAUGAGUGAAAAAGAAUGUCAAUUUCAUUUUUAUUGUUUGGAUGGUCAAUGAAUUCAUUUUUCUCCCCUUAUUUUUUCCCCUCUCCUCCUUUCCUCUUCUCUCCUCUCCUUAUAUUGUUCCAAACCAAACAUGCCAUUAGUCUUGAAUAUUUCUCAAAAAUGACACUUGGAAUCACAAUUUAUAUGAAAAUGAACAAAAAAAACUCUCUAAUGUUUCGACAAAGGCAUCCACACAUCAUUUGAUUGUAAAUUCAAUUAGUUUAUAAGGCAACAAUGGUAAUUUAGUACAUUUAUCCUAAAAAUAUUCAUGAUAUACUAAAAAAAAAAAGGUUCUAAUCUUAUUUUGUUUUACAUAAACAUCUCAAAAUUCAUUGUAAGUGAUGUGAUAUUCAUUAGGGAUGAGGAUUUCGAUUUUUUGUUGUUCAAUUUUUACGAUUUUCGGUUUAGGUUACAACCCAUUCGAGUCUAAGAUUUCAACCUAAGCAUGUUGAAAGAUUGUUUCAGUUUGGUCUACUUUGGUUCGGUUUGGUUCGGUUUGGUUCAAUUUGAUACGAGUAUAUAAUUUGGUGUGGUUUUGGUUUGUUAAUUCAGGUCUAAACACAGUUUCGGUUAUAAUAAAAUAGCAAUAUGUGAUUGUAAGAGUGAGGCAAAGAUGGAGAAUAAUUUUUUUUUUUUUUAAAAGGUACCUUAUGCUCGUGAAGAUCACAAUUGUAUUUAGGCCUGUAACAACAACCUGCAGAAAAUAACUUGCUCAGGUCAGUCCUAUUAGAAAAAGUGUCUAAAUUCCGAGAAAUUACUAGAGUCGGUGAGAGAUAGAAACCUGAAGAAUGGCAUAGAUUAUUGUUCCAACGCUGGAAGAAAAUCCUAAGGACAUUACAAGUAUAAGAACCAAAAUAUUAUGGUCGUUCUAAAUUUUUGAGAGAACAUGAAAGCAUAUCCUUGCAGAGAUCUCAUUACCUGCUGACUCAAAAAUAGUGCUGCUGUAAAAACAGAUUCCAUUGAUUCCACCAAAUUGUUGAAACACCAUCAAUCCGACUCCAAUCUUGUCAAAAUGAAUAAAUUGUAGGAGGAGUCAAUGAGAAGAUAAAAUGUAGUUGCAUUAUAGAUGAAGGAGAAAGAGGAAUUUGUACCGUGACUGAGCGCAAGUAUCUUCUUUGAAACAAAUCCAGCAUUCCAGCUUUUGGGAGCCUUUCUAGAGUUUCUAUGUAAUCCUGUUAAGCAACGAAAAAAAUGCUUCAGAUAAAUUUUCUUCUCAAUGGUCCAAUACACAUAGUCAGUGUGGAAUGGCACUUAUAACUCAGAUAUAAGACCUGGAUUUCAGCUGCCUCAUGUGUUAUAUCAGCAUCCUUGCCACGAAGUUUCUGUAGCGCAGCUUCAAACUCUUUUUCCUUUCCUGUCUUUGCCUGUGUCCAUGGCAAGUUCAGUUUCAUGUAUUCAUCUUUUUCUUGGAGUGUCAUUAUCAGGUAUCCUUACCAGCCAUCUAGGAGACUCCGGGAUGAAAAAGAGACCCAAAAACAAAAUUGCACAGGGGAUGAUACCUGCAAUAAUUGUCUGUAAGCCUUCUGUUUCAUUAUCCUUUCGUAGUUCGUUUUCCUUUUUAAGUUUUCUUGGACAGUUGAAUAAAUGGAUGGUUAAUCAUUUUCACCUGUUAGUGCUAAAGCUCUCCAUGUUAGUACCGUCCCAAUUAUGAAGGCAACUGACACACCAGCACAGAUCAUAAGCUAUAUACAAACAUCAGAAACAAUUAGAUAGAUCAUAGAUUGCUUAAUUUUGGGGCAACUAGCUAUUCGAGAGAUAAAUUAAAAUGACAAAUGAGAAUUUCCUCCAAUUAAGAUGUCUGCAUUUUUAGCUUACCUGAUUUGCAGCUGUUAGUGCUCCUCGAAGAUUCUUGGGUGCAAUUUCAGCAAUAAAAACCGGCACCACAUACGAAAAGACUCCCAUUCCAUAUCCUGUUGCCAAUCUUCCAAUAUCCAAUGGCCAAACCCCCUUUUGUUUCAAUCAAAACAGAAAGAAUAUAAUUGGUAAGUUUAUAGGAAAAUUGUUCUCUUUGCUAUGUAGCUGAAAGAAAUAGGGGAACAAAAAAAUAUUAGUAGAGCUUAAGAAUAUAUGAACCUCAGCAAAGUAAAUAGCAAGCCAUCCUGCAACGCAGAAGACACUUGAAACUCUCAUUGCCUGCACAUAUUAAACAAUCUUACAAGCUAAAUAUUCACUAGAACACAAUUAAGCUCAUAUCCUAAACAUGCAGUGAUUAAUCAGCUAAAAAAUAUAUAUCUUCUUACCCCUUUCCGACCAACAUAAUUAGCAAUUGGCCCACUGGUGAUUGCCCCGAUCAUGGCACCAAAUGUUAAUAUGGAGCCAAACACGGAAUACUGCAUGAGUAUAAACCAAAACCAAAAUGAAAAAAUUUCAUAUUUACCAACUGAAUGGAAUUAGUCUCUGCAGGAAUCAUAAUAACAUUUCUGCACAUCUGCUUCAGCUUAAUAUAACUUGUAUUCAACAAGACAUGCUCUGUCGCUAAAACAUCCUUGUCAAGACACUAAACUCAUGAUUCUUUACUUCUUAGUAAAUAAACAUACACUAAAAAAGUGAUUAAUUUGGAACUAAUUAGAAGAAUGCCCAUUCAUCAGCAUACCUCUGCGAGGGACAGAGCGAUAUCUUCCCUGAUAGCACUCUGAGUAGGAGAUGAAUAUCCAGCCUGCAAAACCAAAUUGACAAUUCCACAACCUAAGCCUUCCAAGCAUUCAACAGAAAAAAAAGUGAAAAUCAUUGUUUCAGAAUUUGGUUUCAGGAAAUGGACUUACACACGAUCCGAAAGCAUAAGAACCGCAAACUGCAAUGGGUGUGCUGAAGUAAACCAUGCACGGAUUUACUUUCUUGUUGUUUGUUCGGUCACCAGCUCCACCAUCUUCAUGAGCUAAGAUGUUCUCAAUCGGCAUAAGUGGUUCCCUUAUAUUUUCUUGAACAUCCUCUUUGACGUCCAUGAUGAUGCUGAUACCUUCCAAAAAGUUGCCUUAGUUUAUCUAAUAGAAGAAAUUGAAAGAAAUUGUUACAAGAUAAAGGAGAUACGCGAAGAUGGAAGCAGAAGCAAACUAUAUCAUCUAUCAAUUAGCCACAAGAGGCUGGAAUUUCUUGAGUCUUCCCUCAAUACUCCUUCGUGAGUUUUAUGAAAGUACUAACACUGAGGACAAGUAGGCAAUUUGUUUUUUCACACAACUGGAUAAUGAAUCUGAAUCAACGACCAUAUGUACACGUUCUACUCGAAGUAAUAUGUACGCUACUAAACUCAACUGGUGUUAUUUUGUCGUUUGCAUGAAAACUGAAACCUGAAAAGAUGACUUAAAGAUACAUGAACAGGCAGAAACCGCAAGCCAACAUGACUUAAAGAGAAUUUCUUCGAAGUAAAUUUUCCCACGGUUUGUUUGUGUAGGAGAAAAUCUAGGUCCCUCGUUAUCUCGUGUUUAGAAUUGUCAACUGUCGUGCGAACCUCUAAAGAUUCAAGAAAAUCAAAGACAAUUUCAGAUUUUUCUUCACCUGGGAUGUGGCUAAUUUCUUUCGGCACCCAUACCUUCUGUAUCAUUUAAAAUGUCUUAAUAAGCUUAAUUAGCCCCCAUGAAAUGCUUCACAGCUGAAGGCACAGCGAGUGUGCCUUUUAUUUUACUACAUCGACUUUCACAUGGAGAUUAUAAGCCGUAGUUAAAUUGUAAGAUAAGAAUGAAAUUAUGGAUACGUCAAAGUGCCAAGUUGAAUUAAUAAAAAAAUAGGAAAACGACGGUUGUGUGUGUCUAUCCUACAUUAUAAGGAAACAGUUAAGUUUCCAACAAGAGACAUGAUAGCCUUUUAUUUUAUUAUCCUAAAAAAAUUGGCUCAAAUAUUUUAUAAUAAAUAUUAAUAUAAUAUAAAUAUUUUAAAUAAUUUUAAUAAUUAAAAAAUACUAUAAUAUCUGCUGUACCGUACAUCCGCCUCCCACUUGUGAUUGCCCCGAUCAUGGCACCAAAGGUUAAUAUGGAGCCAAACACAGAAUACUGCAUGAGUGUAAACCAAAACCAAAAUGAAAAAAUUUCAUAUUUACCAACUGAAUGGAAUUAGUCUCUGCAGGAAUCAUAAUAACAUUUCUGCACAUCUGCUUCAGCUUAAUAUAACUUGUAUUCAACAAGACAUGCUCUGUCGCUAAAACAUCCUUGUCAAGACACUAAACUCAUGAUUCUUUACUUCUUAGUAAAUAAACGUACACUAAAAAAGUGAUUAAUUUGGAACUAAUUAGAAGAAUGCCCAUUCAUCAGCAUACCUCUGCGAGGGACAGAGCGAUAUCUUCCCUGAUAGCACUCUGAGUAGGAGAUGAAUAUCCAGCCUGCAAAACCAAAUUGACAAUUCCACAACCUAAGCCUUCCAAGCAUUCAACAGAAAAAAAAGUGAAAAUCAUUGUUUCAGAAUUUGGUUUCAGGAAAUGGACUUACACACGAUCCGAAAGCAUAAGAACCGCAAACUGCAAUGGGUGUGCUGAAGUAAACCAUGCACGGAUUUACUUUCUUGUUGUUUGUUCGGUCACCAGCUCCACCAUCUUCAUGAGCUAAGAUGUUCUCAAUCGGCAUAAGUGGUUCCCUUAUAUUUUCUUGAACAUCCUCUUUGACGUCCAUGAUGAUGCUGAUACCUUCCAAAAAGUUGCCUUAGUUUAUCUAAUAGAAGAAAUUGAAAGAAAUUGUUACAAGAUAAAGGAGAUACGCGAAGAUGGAAGCAGAAGCAAACUAUAUCAUCUAUCAAUUAGCCACAAGAGGCUGGAAUUUCUUGAGUCUUCCCUCAAUACUCCUUCGUGAGUUUUAUGAAAGUACUAACACUGAGGACAAGUAGGCAAUUUGUUUUUUCACACAACUGGAUAAUGAAUCUGAAUCAACGACCAUAUGUACACGUUCUACUCGAAGUAAUAUGUACGCUACUAAACUCAACUGGUGUUAUUUUGUCGUUUGCAUGAAAACUGAAACCUGAAAAGAUGACUUAAAGAUACAUGAACAGGCAGAAACCGCAAGCCAACAUGACUUAAAGAGAAUUUCUUCGAAGUAAAUUUUCCCACGGUUUGUUUGUGUAGGAGAAAAUCUAGGUCCCUCGUUAUCUCGUGUUUAGAAUUGUCAACUGUCGUGCGAACCUCUAAAGAUUCAAGAAAAUCAAAGACAAUUUCAGAUUUUUCUUCACCUGGGAUGUGGCUAAUUUCUUUCGGCACCCAUACCUUCUGUAUCAUUUAAAAUGUCUUAAUAAGCUUAAUUAGCCCCCAUGAAAUGCUUCACAGCUGAAGGCACAGCGAGUGUGCCUUUUAUUUUACUACAUCGACUUUCACAUGGAGAUUAUAAGCCGUAGUUAAAUUGUAAGAUAAGAAUGAAAUUAUGGAUACGUCAAAGUGCCAAGUUGAAUUAAUAAAAAAAUAGGAAAACGACGGUUGUGUGUGUCUAUCCUACAUUAUAAGGAAACAGUUAAGUUUCCAACAAGAGACAUGAUAGCCUUUUAUUUUAUUAUCCUAAAAAAAUUGGCUCAAAUAUUUUAUAAUAAAUAUUAAUAUAAUAUAAAUAUUUUAAAUAAUUUUAAUAAUUAAAAAAUACUAUAAUAUUUUACAAUCUAUUAGAUAUAUUUUAUCUGCUGUNNNNNNNNNNNNNNNNNNNNNNNNNNNNNNCCUGCUGUACCGUACAUCCGCCUUGGCCGUACAGCAGUAUAUAAAAAUUCAAAAUAUUUGGGAUACUAUGUAAAAUAAUUUUAAUAUUAUUAAUGCGUGCAAUAUAUUUUAUUAAAUGUAAAGUAUAUUUAACUCAGAGAUUUAUUUAAAAUCUUUGUAAUAGAUUCAUGAAAGUAUUAAAAUAAUAUAGUGAUAUAAAUUAUUUUUAAAUAUUUUACUUUUAUUAAUUUAUUAAAUAGAUUAAAUUAUUUGCUGCUGUCUUUUGACAAGCAAUUCUUGACAGGAAAAUGAGUUGGUUGUUUGUCUUUUAUCCCCAAAGAUGUGAGACUGAUUCAAGUUAUUUACGCAUCCUGUCCAUUAUCCAACAACAAUUCUGGUGACGACAGUGAUCUGAUCUACUACCCAUUUUACUUAGUAAUAAAUUAGGUACAGCCAGCCACCGAUUUAGAAUGGAGAGUUGGCAACCGCAUUGGUUCACUCCUGAAAAAAUAUUAAAAAAACAAAUGGAGAGUUGCAAUUUGCCAUGUGUUUCGAUGAUGAAUUCAAAAGUGGUUGUUUUGGGAUAUAUUUGAAUAAAGGAAUGCAGGCCUUGGAGAAAUAAUAAUAAUAAUAAUGAACAACAUAUAUGAGAUCUUUCAAAUUGAUGCCGUAAGAACUUGAUAGAUCAAGAGGGUACUUAUAAAAAUGAUCGACACUAAAUUUUCACGGUUGCAUUAAAUUUGCAGUUCGCCAACAAAUAUUUCCACCCAUUUGCAAGUAAAAACGAAAUUCAACAUCAUGCCUUGCCAAUCUCAGAGUGAACAAGCAUGGUUGUAGCUCAAAUUGACCUUCAGGCUCAAGAGAACUUGCAGAUCCCUUUCCCACAAUUUUUCAGAAUUGAUUUAACAUGAAACAUCACCUCAGAACAAGAACAUAUAGUAAGACUCGAAUGUUAACAUCUCAGAACAAGAACAUAUAACAAGACUCGAAUAUAACUUCCCAUAUUUACUGCCACAGCACAAAAUUCAGAAUUAGUUUCUUCGGUAAAUCCCGAUUAAAGAACUGGCCGAAUCCAUCAGUUUGAACUAUAAAAAUGCAGCGAUAAGGCUAUAGAAAAAGCAACAAGAAGAUCAAUGAAGCUACAAACACCAGUAGUCUCAGAUAGUUGACCAUAACAUUCAAUGUACAGAGACAAAUCCCACCUUGUACCGAGAUGGUGUGCUGUUUCUUCCAGCACAAGUUUCACCCGUAUGAAACUGCCACAUUUUCCUUAAUCUUCUAACAGCUCUUAACCGACUAUGCUUUUAUGCAGACACUUAGGUCCAAAACAAGCAGAUUAAGCCUGGAGCAUUUACUCUAUCAAUCGAAAGAGACAGGUAAUGAAGACUUCUCAAAUGCAUUUACUUCACACAGGUAUCCUCGGUUGGCCUCUCCACAUUGACAUCUAUAGAUGCAGUGUCGGAUCCUCAAGAAGCAACAAUGUUAAAUGCAUAUCACUCACAAUAUCCCGUAAUAACACAAUCUUAUGAGCAAAAUUUGCAAAAACACCAAAACCACACAGGACCUUAGUAAAUGAAAACACCUGCUAUUCAUAUACAAGUAGAAUUUUAGCUUUGUUAUCACGAUGCACCCUACUUGAAAAGAAUCAACUUUGAAUUAUGCAUCUAUGUACUCUUUACAAGGUGGAACAUGAUUCAAAUUUCAAGAACCACGAAAGCUAUAUAAAAAAUAUAUCAAGGCCAACAAAACCAUCGGUGCAGACACCGGUAAUUACAACAAUUCUACUGGUUUGGAACCAGAGUUUCUCACUUCUUCCUUAUGACUGGAAUCAGAGAUUCUCACUUCUUCCUUAUGACUAGAAGGGCGCUCAAUUUCAGUAAAAGCCUGAUAGCCGGUAUAACUUGAGAACUGACCUGAGCCACUAUUACUGCUCAUAGACUUCUCAAUCUCGUCCAUCUCAGCUACAAAAGAAAUUGGUCGUUCUGGGAUUGUGGGAACAGACUGCUCAGUUUCCAACAUUUUCACGACCUGAUCCAUCGUUGGCCUGGCAUAUAACUGUGGAUGGGAACAAAGAACGGCAAUCGUUACAUACUUCUCUAGAACUUCGGGUACACCCAUCUCUGGCAUACCAUCUUCAAUAACAUCCAGAGCUCUCCCCUCCUUCACCAAUGACCAAGCCCAGUCCGUCACAAGAGAAGCUUGGCCAUCAUCAUUCAUAAUGAGUGCCUUCCUGCCACUCAAAAGCUCCAGAAGCACAACACCAAAGCUGUACACAUCACUCCUGUCAGUCAAUUGCCCAUACAAAGCAUACUCAGGAGCAAGAUAUCCCAUUGUCCCAGCCACCCUAGUACUCAAAUGAGUGAACCCCUCCGGUGUAAACUUUGCAAGCCCAAAAUCCCCCACCUUUGCCUCAAACUUCUCAUCCAAUAAUAUAUUACUAGCUUUAAUAUCCCUGUGAAAAAUUGCCGGCUGUGCACCAAAAUGCAAAUAGGCCAAUCCCCUUGCCGUCCCAAGAGCAAUCGACUGCCUAAGAGGCCAACUAAGCUUCGGCCCAUUGGAAGCAAACAAAUGAUCAUAAACGCUUCCAUUCUUCAUCAAAUCACAGACAAUAAUCCUCUGGUGACCCUCUAACUGAGUAGUGGCAAUACAAUAACCUCUCAAAGCAACAAGAUUGACAUGCCUAACGCUAGCAAUAACCUCCACCUCAUGCUUGAAAUUUGCAUCACCCGCCGCGGAACAAUUCUUGAACCUCUUCAAAGCAACCUCAGAGCCAUCGGGCAAAAGCCCUUUGUAGACAUUACCAUAACCUCCUCUCCCAAUGAUAUUAUCCCUUGAGAAAUUCCGAGUAGCUUUCUUAAUGUCAUCAAAUGUGAACCUGACCAAAUUAGUACUCUCAUGAAUAGACUCCAAUCCCAUUUCAAUUCUAUUAACCUCUUCUCGUUCCCUCUUCUUUCUUCUGUUAGAAACCACACGCUUACGCCAAAAGAUCCAAACCCCACCAGAAAUUAGCAACAACCCAACAACACAAACAACCAAGACCCCGGCAAUUAAGCCCUUGUUCUUCUUCUUACUCUUCUUUGAUGAUUCAGCAAACUCAAAUGAGAACAAACAGUUAGCAGUGCCCGUAUCGGUGGGACCAAACUGAUUGGCGGCCGCGGCGGCGUAAAUGGAAGGAUAGGCCAGACAAUCAGACAAGUUCCCAACGGAAGGCCCGGUCAAAUAGGCCUGCAAGCGGGCCAAGCUGGUAGUACAAGCAGCACAAGGGGCACUAUUCCCCAAGGACUGGUUACAGUUGGAAACGACGUCGUCGAGAGUGGACUGGGGAAUCAACCUCUCGAACUGGGAUAUCGUGGAGAUGUUCAUACAGCCUUCAGAGAUCCAAUCGGUUUGGAAGCCGCAGCGGGAGCGUACGUCGAAGUUCGGAGCGACUCUGUCGACAAGGGUUUGGUAAACGCGCCAGCAUGACUCGGAGGCGUUGAGGGGCGGCAGGAAGUUUCCGGUGCGUUUGAGGUAUUGUGAAUCCACGAGACGAAGGCCCUUUUUAACGUUCUGACACUGCGAGGGCAGGUCACUCGGAGUCUUGAACUGGGACAUCAGCUGCUGUAAGAAGUUGAAGUCAAGCGGGCACGAAACGGUGGCGUUUCGUUGUGCCGCGGCCGUUGUUGUGGAGGCCGCCAGGAAAAGAAUGAGAACAAGGCCUCGUAAGAAUGACAUCGGCAUCGACAUCUCGGGGACGGGGAGAGAUACCGGGGGGUGUUGGUAGCAGUACAGAGACAACAAAGACAACAAUAAGGAAAAGCAUGUGCACGUGCUUGUGCUUGGGGAUUGUGGUGCAAUUUGAGUAAACUAGUGUAAUUUGAGUUGGGAGUUUGACUAAUCACUAGUAAAUUCCCUAUGGCAUGCAACGGGUGAUGGCGGCAGGCAAGGCAAACACAGCCAGCCAGUUAUGACAGUUGAUUAGCUUAACCUACUGCAAAUUUGAAGCUUCAGAGAAGGUGAGAUAGUUCAAUUCAUUUGAUUUCGUUCAAUAAAAAUAUAAUAAAUAAAAGUUAUUGCUUCCUUACUUACCUAGUUUGUUAAUUUUCAACGCCUUAUUUUUGUCUGUCAAUAGAAACUUCAAGUCCAUUCAUCAA
RNAcentral lists this long non-coding RNA (10936 nucleotides) under Citrus sinensis (sweet orange). RNAcentral's name for it is "long non-coding RNA (CSIN_LNC002390)". The record is from RNAcentral. Lineage: Eukaryota; Viridiplantae; Streptophyta; Magnoliopsida; Sapindales; Rutaceae.